GAUGAACGCUAGCUACAGGCUUAACACAUGCAAGUCGAGGGGUAACAAGAGAAAAGCUUGCUUUUCUUGUUGACGACCGGCGCACGGGUGAGUAACGCGUAUCCAACCUGCCUAUAACUAGGGAAUAACCUUGCGAAAGUAAGACUAAUACCCUAUGAUUUCCUUUGAUGACAUCAGAUUAGGAAUAAAGAUUUAUCGGUUAUAGAUGGGGACGCGUCUGAUUAGCUUGUUGGCGGGGUAACGGCCCACCAAGGCAACGAUCAGUAGGGGUUCUGAGAGGAAGGUCCCCCACAUUGGAACUGAGACACGGUCCAAACUCCUACGGGAGGCAGCAGUGAGGAAUAUUGGUCAAUGGGCGGAAGCCUGGACCAGCCAAGUAGCGUGCAGGAUGACGGCCCUAUGGGUUGUAAACUGCUUUUAUACAGGAAUAAAGUUAGCCACGUGUGGUUAUUUGUAGGUACUGUAUGAAUAAGGACCGGCUAAUUCCGUGCCAGCCGCCGCGGUAA
RNAcentral lists this ribosomal RNA (506 nucleotides) under uncultured bacterium. Its description in RNAcentral is "partial 16S ribosomal RNA". It matches the Rfam family "Bacterial small subunit ribosomal RNA", at positions 28 to 523 of the family's 1533-position model. The record is from RNAcentral.